AUUGAACGCUGGCGGCAGGCUUAACACAUGCAAGUCGAGCGGGGGAAGGUAGCUUGCUACCGGACCUAGCGGCGGACGGGUGAGUAAUGCUUAGGAAUCUGCCUAUUAGUGGGGGACAACAUCUCGAAAGGGAUGCUAAUACCGCAUACGUCCUACGGGAGAAAGCAGGGGAUCUUCGGACCUUGCGCUAAUAGAUGAGCCUAAGUCGGAUUAGCUAGUUGGUGGGGUAAAGGCCUACCAAGGCGACGAUCUGUAGCGGGUCUGAGAGGAUGAUCCGCCACACUGGGACUGAGACACGGCCCAGACUCCUACGGGAGGCAGCAGUGGGGAAUAUUGGACAAUGGGGGGAACCCUGAUCCAGCCAUGCCGCGUGUGUGAAGAAGGCCUUAUGGUUGUAAAGCACUUUAAGCGAGGAGGAGGCUACUUUAGUUAAUACCUAGAGAUAGUGGACGUUACUCGCAGAAUAAGCUCCGGCUAACUCUGUGCCAGCAGCCGCCGCCG
This 501-nucleotide ribosomal RNA is filed under the name uncultured bacterium. Its description in RNAcentral is "partial 16S ribosomal RNA". It matches the Rfam family "Bacterial small subunit ribosomal RNA", at positions 30 to 523 of the family's 1533-position model. The record is from RNAcentral.